This 305-nucleotide ribosomal RNA is filed under the name Biomphalaria tenagophila guaibensis. Its description in RNAcentral is "partial 16S ribosomal RNA". The record is from RNAcentral. Lineage: Eukaryota; Metazoa; Mollusca; Gastropoda; Planorbidae.
UUUAAAUGGCCGCAGUACCUUGACUGUGCUAAGGUAGCAUAAUCAAUUGGCUUCUAAUUAAAGUCUAGAAUGAAAGGAAGUAUGAGGUAAUUCUAUCUUAAAUGAUUUUUUUUUAAUUUAUUUAAAUGAUGAAAAUAUCAUUUAUUAGAAAAAAGACGAGAAGACCCUUAGAGUUUGAAUUUUUAGUUUUGUUGGGGCGACAGGUAAACAUUUUAAACUUUACUAUCUUUAUAAUCGAUUUUUAAUAAAAAUAUAAAAACUACCUUAGGGAUAACAGCAUUAUAUUAUUAUAUGAUUGUGACCUC